RNAcentral lists this ribosomal RNA (246 nucleotides) under uncultured bacterium. RNAcentral describes it as "partial 16S ribosomal RNA". It matches the Rfam family "Bacterial small subunit ribosomal RNA", at positions 524 to 770 of the family's 1533-position model. The record is from RNAcentral.
GACAGAGGGUGCAAACGUUGUUCGGAUUUACUGGGCGUAAAGCGCGUGUAGGCGGCUUACAAGUCGGAUGUGAAAGCCCACGGCUCAACCGUGGAAGUGCAUCCGAAACUGUAUCGCUGGAGUCCCGGAGAGGAAGGUGGAAUGCUUGGUGUAGAGGUGAAAUUCGUAGAUAUCAAGCAGAACACCUGCGGCGAAGGCGGCCUUCGUGGACGGUGACUGACGCUGAGACGCGAAAGCGUGGGAGCA